GGCAGCCGCGAGACAGAGGCAGGGGGUUGGCCGCUGUCACCCAAUCAGCGGCAGGGGGCAGGCCUCUUGAUUUCUCCACAGCCAAUCCUACAACAGUUUCCCCUUUGAAAGGCCAAUGAGAUUCGUGGUCAAGGCGACACCACGCCUUCUCAGCCCACCAACAUGCACUCUACACAACUAAUGUAGAGGAUGGGCUGAGUUCCCAGGACCCAGCGUGUAAGUCACAGAAGCCAUCACACAAUGUCCCCCUUCGAAAUUAUCCUUCCUUUUUCUUUGAAUAUCAAAAGAAAUGGGAAGUCGAAAUUGAAGGUCUACAGAAUUCAGUCUGGCAGAAUGAAUUUUGGGGAGACCACCUGGAAGGAUCCCACAGUAAAUUUCAUCUCCAGAUACAGAACAUCUUUGUAUUGUACUCCCUGACUCCAGACUUGCCUGUCAUGAAACUUGAUGGCAGGAUUCUAAGAUGACCUCCAGGAUCCCUACUCCCUGUACAAUCCUUAGGACUGUGAAGAUGAUGGAUUUUACUGCUGUGGUUAAGUUAUAUGUAGCACAUUCGACUUGAAGAAAGGGAGGUUAUUCUGGGAAUAUGUAGCAGUACAAAGUGCUAACGUCGUGUGGAUUUGAACCCCCAUCCUCGAGAGCAAAAGAAGGCUGGGGAUUGCCAAAUGUCAACUCAGCUAGCUUUCAGCCCUUUAAAGGCAGAGGAGAGCAAAGUCCGAGCAGAGGAGCACUCAUGGCCAGCCAGGGACUGAUAAUGGAUUGCAGCUGGCCAAGGAAAACAGCAGAACAAGCCACAGGUGUCUGCAUCCAGCCAGCUGGGUCAGGGCAUCACAGGAAGUGCAAGGGAGGGAAGGGAGCCCUUGCAGCAGCUUCCUGUUUGAUGCUUACUAGAGCCUGGACUGGCAAUGCAUGUGGGUGAGCCUUCCCAGCUGUGGCCCACCAUAGGGCAAGGUGGGGACUGUGGCUCAACUGGGAGGCCACCCUACUGAGCACCACCAUCUGCCGUAGCACAGAAAUGCAGACCCUGAUGCCAGAGCUCUUAAUAUUUCCAUAGAAGUCAGAUAUCUGUAUUUUUGUGUAAAAUCUCUUGAAUUUUAAGCGUUGUCAACUAAUUAACAUUUUCCACAAUGCUACAGAGCGUAUGCUUACCUUGCAAUAUUGUAUAACAAUACCAUA
This is a non-coding RNA of Macaca mulatta (Rhesus monkey), 1173 nucleotides long. The record is from RefSeq and is a predicted model, not a curated record. Lineage: Eukaryota; Metazoa; Chordata; Mammalia; Primates; Cercopithecidae.